UCAUGUGAUAGUAUACAAGAUUUUAUAAAUGAUCAUAGGUUCUGAAAAGAGAAAAUGGAACACAUCUGUCAUAUUCUGACUACAGCUAUGAAAAGAUAAUCCGCUUGAAACAUUUGAAAUAUAAAUGGUGUUGGUUUGGAAAAAGAGGGAGAUAUAGUUACCCCAAGUCUGCAAAUAACAGAAACUGGAUUUAAAAAAAAAUAGAUAAUGUGGUUGUAAUAGAUAAUGUGAUUGAAAUACAGAUACUUGGCUUAUCUGGACAAAGCCCAGCUGCCCUGGCAGGUGAGAGCUGGGUUUUAGAAGGGCAAAGAUCAGAGAGAGCUGUGAAGAAAUGCCUCGGACCUUCCUGUCCUCAUCCUCCAAUAUUCGGCCCAUAUUCUCCUUAGGAAAAAUCCAUCCAAACCUUGACACAUCAUUAUGGAAGGUCAUGUUGCAUGCCCUUAAGUUGCUCUACAGAGUGCAGAGGCCUGGAAGCACACAGCAUGAAGAAUGGGUAUAGAGUCAAGCAGACCGAGCAAUAGAACACAAAGAAAAGGAAUCCAGCUUCUUGUAUGGAAGUACAGAAAAAAGUAUAUAGAAUCAAAUGAUUUCUGAAUUAGUCUCCAACUCAACUUCAGGAAAAUGGUUAAUUGAAAAUACUAUCAUGUAUGACAGCAUUAGAAAAAAGAACUAUAGUAAAUGAGUAUAAAACUGAGAGCCGAGUCCCAAGGCUCACCUCUUAAACUAUUCAGUCAUCAAAAUAACCUCUUAUUAAACAAUGUCAAGUGGAAGUUAGUGCAGAACACUCUGUCCUUGCAAUUUGCUUCUGUGCUAGCACAUAUAUCUCCUAAGAUAAACACCCAAGGAACUUAAACCAUGCCAAGCCAAACUAAAAAGAAAUGACGCCAACAUCAACUGAUAGAUACGGAUUUUCCAGGCGAUUUACCCAAAGUGUGGGUUGAUUUUUCUGGUAAGGACAAUACAAACUGUCAUUUAGACUCUGAAGAAUUGGAAACAACACCUAGAGCUAAAAAGAUAAUAAGAAUUAAGCAACACCAUGGAACAUGUGUAGGAUAACAUGGCAUAGAAUACUUGGCAAUCGCCAAGAUUUAAGUUAAUGGAAUUUUUCCUAUAAACUUAGAAUACUAGGUUUUCUUAUGCUAAGUUAUCUGAAAAGUUCUUCUUCAUUUUCUUUUUCACUUUCAUCUCUUAACACCUAGCAGAAAAGUAAGCCGUUUCCUGUUUAGUUUAUGAGCUGUUUUUAAAUUUAGUGAGAAACUCUGCCCCCUCCCCCCAAUUUUGGGACGGUGGCGAGUAUCUAAGUAUGCACAUGGUUGCUGGUUACCUCCAGCGUCUGCACACUUGCACACUUAUAUGCACAUACACUUUCACACUAAGUAAAUAGUAAUUAAUAAAAUGCUGGCUAGAGGAGUGGAGGGAGAAGCAUGAAUGAUUGACAUCACUGAAGGUGGUGCAGAUAGAUGAACUUGCUUUUAACUCAGAAGCAAGAAACACAGAUAUUGGAAGAAUAAUACUCAUACAUUUCAUAGAAGUUGUAAAUUUUGAGGAAAGGAAAGAAAACCUGGAAGGUGGUAUUUUAAAAGAAAAUUGUUUAAAAUAGCAGAUUUUUUUUUAAAAAAAUGUUUCUUUAGAAAAAAGGUAAAUGUUGAAUAUGAUAACAUAGGUCUUCAAUAAGCAUAUUGGAAUGACAUUUUAGAAUAUUAAAUAAACAAAUAAACAAACAAAAAUAGGAGGGACCACAGGUGGAGCACCUUCAGCUCAUGCUGUGUUUGACCCAGAACCUGAAAGUUAGAAAAUGCUAUGAAAUUGUGUCAGAUUCAACUAAUUUACAAUUAUGUAAAUGAUUAGCUAACGGAAUUUAUAGGUAAGAGCACCUCUGAGCCAAUAGUAAUACUGUGUCAUUGAAGUAUAUUGGAGAGCAAGGAAACACUCUUUUUAUAUUGUGCUACACAGUAAAUUAAAGGCACGCUUAUAGUCAAUUUUGUGUGCCUAUAAAUAAAAGCACAGUUUAGUAUACUUUAAUUGAAUGUAAGAAUUCCCUCUCAAGUUACAUAAGUAAAACAAUAGCAUAAGGGUAUGAGCAUUAUUAGAGACAAGUCUUUGUCUCAUCUAUUCUAAAAAUAUUUAAGAACGGCGAUACAUUGAAUUCUCUCAGAAUUGGACUCCUGCCUGCCUGACUGCCAGCCUCUUCUCUUGAGCUUUCUGAUCUCUGUUAAUAAACUGGUUACAAAGCACACUCAGAUUUACCUCAUGUAGCAUGAAUAAAAAAUUUGGUAUAAUAUUUAUAACUUGUAAUAGGCCUUCAGUAAAUUUAAAAAAAUCUAUUUUUUAAUAAAAACCAUAGAAGCCAAACAGUGCAAGUAAAUAAAAGGAAAAAAAAGUCUUCAAACUCAAACUUAGACUGCAGGGAGAGAAUGAGAAUCAAGGACAAAGAGAAGUAACAACACAAAAGUAACUUUCAAUGUUCUUAAAUAAUGGUAAUUUAUGCAAGAAAAUAACUAAUGUAGAGAGCAUACAUAUGGUGCAUAUAUCAUGGGAAUUGUCAUAUAUGAUUUAAGGUUAGUGUUUUCUUAGAGUUAGAUCCAUGCCCAGGGGAACUGAAUCAGCAUGGCUAUAGACCUUGCGGGAAUGUGUUUUUGAAUGGGAUUGCUGACUUCUUUGCCUGCUGUUACAGAGCCAGGUGCCCUUGCUGACAAGUAGCUCUGAGACAUUCAUAUAACUCAUAUAUAGUCCCUGACCUUUUUCUGAUUUUUCCCUAGUACUUUUAUUUCUCAAAUUAUUAUUAGGAGAAUUAAAGGAAAGCCUCCAAGGCAUUAUUUGGAGGGCAGGCAUUUUUCACUAGCUUUAUCGCUUAGACAGAAAGUAUAAGCCAACUUGAUAAAUACCCACCUGGGCAAAGGUGAGGUCCCCAAAUGCUGAGACUCGAAUUUGGAAGAUGCUGAGUCUGUGUACUGUUUGAUUUCAAACGCAGUUUUGCUCUUUCAUUGCACUUAAGUAUGUCAUUUGAUGUCUUCUUCCUGAUGAUUAGAAGACAACAGUGUGUCCCCUGCAUUAGUGAAUCUUGCCUCAACAUCCAGAAAGUUAAAUGUAAGUUCUCCAAUGUUUGUAUGAGAGUUCUGACUGGGUUCUCCUUACAUUGUGACAGUUCCAGACAGGAAUAUGCUUAAGAUGUUCACAUAAGCAAAAUCUAUCAUGAAACUGAAAAAAUGUUCAAAUGUUGUCAACUUUUAAAAGAGGUGAUAAAAUAAUUGGAGUGAAGGCAAGUUAGAAUUUUUGCAACAGGGGCAUUCAUCAUGUUGACUUGCAAAAUGGACACAAGGAGUUCAUUGUGCUAUUUUAUAUAUGUUCAAAUGUUUGUUAAUACAUUUUUUAAUGUUCUACUAUGACAUAUCUUUGUAAUAUGUCAGAAAAAUGAGAAUUUGGUUAUGGCAAGUCAAUGCAAAUAAUUUUAUAACAUAUAGAAGAAAGAUAUAAAGAGUUUAUGGUUGGCAGAGACCAUUCAUUCCCAACCACUCAGACAAGAAAUAGUCACUCAGAAACUCAAUUAAAUUACUGCUUGGCCAAUCACUUAAAUGUAUUGCUAACUAGCUCUAAUAUCUUAAAUUAACCCAUUUUUAUUAUUUUAUAUUUUACCAUGAGGUUUGUAGCCUACUGGCAAGGUUCCGGGUACCAGCUCAUGUCUUUCUCCUCUGCCAGCUACAUGGCUUCUCCCUGACUCUGCCUUCUUUCUCCUAGCAUUCAGUUUAGUUUCUCCACCUAGCUCUAGUCUGCCCUAUCACAGGCCAAAAUAGCUUCUUCAUUAAUUAACCAAUAAAAGCAAUACACAUACAGAAGGACUUCCUAUAUCAGUUUAUGUUGUAAACAACUCCUCAAAAAUGACAUACUUGGUUUUUGGCUUUUUUUUCUACACAAUUAUUUUAAAUUUUUCUAAAAAUUAUUCAAAAUGGUACUAAAAUAACUAACAAGAGGUUAUCGUGUCUAUUAGUUAUAACUGCAGAAGCAGGGCAGAAAGAAUUUAAGAAUCACAGAGGUUGGAAGAGCAUUGGGAAACCCCAUCUUUUGGACACAACAUGGCGGUCACAGUCAUGAAAUCACAGCAGCCAUGGUUUGCAACAACUGCAUUAGUUGCCGGUGCAUUAAAAGGUGGGAUCUCAGCCCUUCAUCCUUGAAUCUUCCCUCGCCUGAGUGUCCUGCUGGACCAAGGAUGCAGAAUUGCAGGGGGCUUGAGACGGUCUUGAUGCAUCUCUCUGUGUGUCUUGGAAUGUUCGCAUUUUGGAAGCUAAACAUGUUCUUAGGAGACUUAACAGGAUCAUGAAGCCAUCGAGCUCUGGUUUCCGAAUAAGCUGCAGCUUUAGGAGUGUGGCUGUCCCUGGGGUGUCCAAACCAGCUGAGACCGCUGGUCUUCAAUGUUGUGUAUAAGAAGGGGCAGAUUGGUGAUGGAUGGAGAUAGAGACAGAGACCCACACUAGAGCACUGGACUGAGCUCCCAAGGUCCCAAUGAGGAGCAGAUGGAGGGAGAACAUGAGCAAGGAUGUCAGGACCACGGGGGUGCACCCACCCACUGAGACUGUGGGGGCUGAUUUAGUGGGAGCUCACCAAGGCCAGCUGGACUGUGACUGAAAAAGCAUGGGAUAAAACCGGACUCUCUGAUCAUGGCGAACAAUGAGGACUGAUGAGAAGCCAAGGUCAAUGGCACGGGUUCUGAUCCUACUUCAUGUUCUGGCUUGGUGGGAGCCUAGCCAGUUUGGAUGUUCACCUUCCUAGACAUGGACGGAGGGGGGAGGACCUUGGACUUUCCACA
Alexandromys fortis (reed vole) is the source of this 4801-nucleotide long non-coding RNA. RefSeq lists it as uncharacterized. The record is from RefSeq and is a predicted model, not a curated record. NCBI's taxonomy places the organism in Eukaryota, Metazoa, Chordata, Mammalia, Rodentia, Cricetidae. The transcript is spliced from 3 exons.